GUAAGCAUAUAGCUGAUAAGAGACUCAUGUGUUGAUAAUUAGAUAUUUCUAAUGGCUUCUGGUUUAAAGCUCAGCUCUUUCUCAGGUUUCAGCAGGAGAGCUCAAGUAUGACAGACAGAAAAUACCAGAAGAAAACAACUGAACCAUCCAGGGCUAAAGAUCCAGCAUACUAGAUAUUUAAGAUUUGUGCAGCAUUACUUUAGAAUGUGAAUCUUAUUUGAAAUCCAAAGAGAAUUUGAGAGUUUCAAAGAGGAGAAAGGAUAAAGAUUUUGGAAAGGAUAUACCUCUUAAUUCGUGAAGUAUAUUAGACUCAAAUUGCUCCCAUUUAUCAAAUGUAUAUGUGUGUGUUUGUGUGUGUGCACAUGCACAUUGACUCACCUGGAUCUAAAAGGAGGGAAUGGGUGAGGAAGCAAGCAGAGACGUGGUAUGUAGAAAGUUUGAAGUCAUUUUUCUACUGAUAAUUUGGUCACAUGAACUGGGAAAAUCGACAAACUUUCCAGUUUAUAGCAAAGUAUUAUGAUGUAGAAUAAAUUUAUAUUAUCUGGCUGAUCUCUAUAAAGAAAUAUAUCAGCCAGUCACCAUUAAAACAAAACAAAACAAAACAUC
RNAcentral lists this long non-coding RNA (606 nucleotides) under Fukomys damarensis (Damara mole-rat). RNAcentral's name for it is "lncRNA (ENSFDAG00000021972.1)". The record is from RNAcentral. Lineage: Eukaryota; Metazoa; Chordata; Mammalia; Rodentia; Bathyergidae.